Molecule: long non-coding RNA, 1152 nt
Filed under: Heterocephalus glaber (naked mole-rat)
Lineage: Eukaryota; Metazoa; Chordata; Mammalia; Rodentia; Bathyergidae
Description: lncRNA (ENSHGLG00100045705.1)
Source: RNAcentral
GGAAGAAGUGACUUCGGAAAAGCGCCUCCACAAGUGGGCCGGGGUAUGGUCCCCCGGAUAGGGCUAGGGCUUCCUCCUCUUGAACCCAUGAUGAAUGUGGGAUGCGCUCCUUCCGGGCCCCAGGCAGCUCUUCGCUGCAGCGCAGCGCAGCGCACUCUGAGGAGGAGCAGCGCACUGUGGAGGACGCGGGGCGCCGCUGUCCCUCUGCAGCAGCCUCUGGACGGACGGCGCUCUGGGGAUCACACACCAUCGGGCAAGCUAGGGUGACCUCCCACGGUCCUCACCAGCCGCCCGCGCCAGCCUGCAACCCCACGGGUAGUUUGCGUUGUGGAUGGCACAGGGCAGGCGCAAACUCACCUGGCGCCGGAGCUGCAGCGAGGGACGAGUUCUCAGCCGCGGAAACCACUGUUCUGAAAACAACCCGGAUAUCACAGCCAUCCAAGUAUGGCUUGAGAUAAAACCGAAAUCGAAACUACAUUACGUUUUGACUCACUGUUGCGGUUUUUGCAGUUUCCAAUGCUGCCUCUUGGAGGCAGAGACUCACCGCACUCCCCAUUCAGAAAGAACACUGGGGCGAAACCAUCACCUGACACCAGGCUUCCGGACCCUGCAGUGGCUAAUGCCUCUAAGGUCCGCAGCCCCACCCCACCACUUCUUGUGUUUCCUGUAUCUACGGGGAAGAAACCUGCAGCUGUGGGCUGUCGCGAACCUGUUGUGAGUGAGGAGUGAAUGCUGAAUCCUCCAGCCCUGGGUUUGUGUUGAGAAGUCUGCUGUGAUAUGCUUUCUAUAUCCUUUUAAAUUCUGUAAAAUCUGUGCUAAUGUCCUUUAAAUCUUGAUAUUGUAAUUUUAAAAAAUGUGUAAUUGAUAUUAUGUAACAGGAAGAAAAGGUCUAAAGGAGUAGGGGAAAGGAGUAGGAGGAGGGAGUAGGAAGGGCAGGGGGGAAAGGAAAGAAGGGAAAAGAAAAAAAUAUGAGAAAAGGAAAAUGGAAACAAAGUCGUAAAUAGGGAAGGAGGGUGAGCAGGGGAAUGGGGAAAAAUAAGAACCAAGAUACAUCAUGUAAAGGUACAAGAUCUCAAUGAUGAAUGUAACUAUUUUAUGCCUAAAAUGUACCAAUAAACUUAAUGGGGAAAAAAAUGCUUCUUGGAGCUGGGG